GGGUUAGGUUUAAAAUACAAAAUGAUAACAAAAAUUAUAUUCCAAAAUAAAUAUCUAGAAUAAUGAUAAAAGUUGAAUAUAUAUCUUCAAGGUCAUGUUGGUAAGUCAUGAGAGGCACUUGCAGCUGAGAUGAGGACAUUUCCUGUAGUACCCUAGAAUUAAGGAAUGGAUUAGCAAAACCCUAAUUAGAUAAUUAUGAAUAAUUGAGGAAUUAUAUUAUUAUAUAAUUCAGUAUAUGUGAAUUAAUUUGAUUAAUUAUAUGUUAAGACCCUGUUGGUGAGCCAGGGGCAUUUUAGUAAUUAUGACCCGAGAAGGGUAAAAUGAUGAAAUUAAUUUAAUUACGUGCUUAAUGGAACUAUAUUAUCAUGUAGUAUGACUGUGUUGUCUUUUCAGGGGUGUUCUGACAGGUUGGCGCGGUAUAGUCACAACCGGGUAUUUCGGGCCGAACCGGGUUCGGGCCCGAAAUAUAAAUUGGAUUGAUUUAUUUGGCAUUAUUAUUUAUGGGUGAUAAUCUGAAUUUUUAUUUGAAAAUAAUUGAGUAUGAAUUCACUAGAAUGCCCUUGUAUGUGUGAAUAGGUGAAAAUUGGCCUUAGGGGCAAAAUGGUCUUUUGACCUUAUUUGAUUUACUUUAAUAAAAGCUGAAUUUUGAGGAAAUGAAAUUAGAAAUUCUGGGUUCUCUCUCUCUCCUUAACCCGACCCCCUCUUCCUCUCUCUUUAUCAUCUUCAAUAUUUUACAACUUUGAAAUUAAGGCUUGGAUUGGAGAAAAGUUAAGGAGUUUGGGUGAUUUUGGUGCUUGGAGCUUAGAAAUUUGUGGAUUACCGGCACCUGAUCAGGAGCACCCAGGGGUUUGGAAUCUCUGUUAUUGCGGGACAACAGGAAAGGGUAAGUCAGUGGCUGAUCAACCAUGAGUUUGAGGAGCAAAACGAAGAAUGUACAUGUUCAAGCCAUAUCAGACCAAGCGGGUUAAGGGUCUAUCAGUGUUGAACUUUUGAAUUCUGUUUUGCCGCUUAGGUCGGCUAGAAAGAAAAGACUUGUAAUAAGUUUGUAAUUAUUUUUGGGAUCCCAACUAUUUUGAAAAGUUUAAAUAUAUUAAAA
Cannabis sativa is the source of this 1096-nucleotide long non-coding RNA. RefSeq lists it as uncharacterized. NCBI's taxonomy places the organism in Eukaryota, Viridiplantae, Streptophyta, Magnoliopsida, Rosales, Cannabaceae. The record is from RefSeq and is a predicted model, not a curated record. The transcript is spliced from 3 exons.